AUACUUAAGCUUGAUCUUUUCUCCUUUGCAUUUUUGUUUUAGUGUUUGUUCAUUGUGUAGCUUUAGUGUUACAGAUGAUCUCUGUUCAGGAAAAUGGAGAAGGAGAAUCUAUUUGCUUAAGAAUGAUAAUUUUCAUCAGUUUGUUUGUAGGUUUUCUAAUCUGUUUGGUUAGAAUGGGCAGACAUGGGUUCGCACUUGUUGCUUGUUGUUCUCCACAAGUGCAUUAGCAACUGCAGAACAUACUUGCUGAGAACAACCAAAUAAAAGUCGGGCAACCUUACUAUAGGCCCCUAGGGGCAGGAUCUAAUCCCAGCAGUACAUGCCUAUAUUAUUAAAACCCUAGACAACGGAGCAAGUAAAAAUCAGGGUAAGCUUCAUGGUUUAACAUAUUGGAAGAACCUAUCUUUGUUGCAUUGGUGGAAUUGGAGCUACUACAAAUUAAAAUAAAGCGCUGGAAAAUUGAAUUUAAAUUGCUGCAGGUAAUGUAUAUCUGACUUUAUUACUUUAUUAAUUGAAGGUUAAAGAUAUUAGUCGGUAUUCGACUGUACGGCAUCUUUCGCAUUACGUUUUAGAGCCAUUACGCCAGGAUUACUGAUAUUUGUGUACAAGUUGUUGGGUGAUGAUACCAAAACCGUUACUCAGCGAUCCGAAACUUGUCAGUUGGAAAUGAAACUGUGAGACUGUAAUUUUCGCAAUAUGUAAAAUGGAACUGUAAUUUUUGAAACAAGUUAAUGAAAUUGAGUAUGCAGGCGCAUCUGCAGUGGGUUCAGGUUUAAAACACGCAGGACACACGUGCGCAUGUCAAACGCGUGCGCUGUGUGGGUGUCCAACGCGUGUCCCGUGUCCGAUGCGGACACGACGCCAAUACUAGUGUGUCGGUGCUUCACAAACCCACCCUCUAUCAGUCUCCUUGGGGCCCUAGGGACUGUGGGUUGCGGUAUUUCAACCUUGCUAGCGGACAACUGUGGGAUAUGACGUGGCACUAUCUGAAUGGUUGAGAAGGGAAUGACUCUAGCAUUGGGAUCAGUAGCAGACUGGGUUGAGAAAACGAGUCAAUUAUUUUCAGGUACUAUCUAUUCAUGAUUCAUCAAUGCUUAUGUAUAUGGCCGGCAAUUGGGAUGCAGUUUUCCUCAAGUUGGGACCUACGAACAAGGAAUCAAGUCUGUGGACAGAAAUUAUGCAAUGGCAAUUUCCUGAUGAUGAAGUUCUAAGAGUAAUAAUGCCAAGGAAAGCGUACAACAUAAAAUCUGCUGCAGUUGGGAUGGAAUUCAAUGUUCAAGUGAGUCUUUUCAUGUCAUAUCUAUCGACCUUAGAAACAAAGACUUGGAGAUGUACCAAUACGACGAUUCCUCCUACCAGGAAGAACCAAAAACUGCACUGCAAGGUAUAUUAUCACCUUCCAUUUUCAAUAUUACUCAACUGGAGUACCUCGAUCUUGGCUUUAAUGAUUUUCAGGGAUCAGAUAUCAGCAAUCAGUGUUCUUAUCUGACUAAACUCACCCAUUUGGAUCUCUCCCUUUCAAACUUUUCAGCAUCAAUUUCCACACAAUUCAAUAACCUGACAUUUCUACAAUACCUCGACCUAUCAUGCUAUCAGAUAGAUGCAAUAGGUAUUUACACUACCCCUUGCUUACAAUCAUCAACUACAAAGUGGCUUAGAGGUUUAGUAAAUCUCCAGGUAUUAAGGUUGAGUGGUAUUGAUAUAUCUGAGGCCACCUCUUCAAAAGACGAUUUUGCUCAACAUAUUUCCCACCUCUGGAAUCUUAUGGAUCUCGAUAUCUCUUAUUGCGGUAUAUCUGGUCCGGUUCUAUCCAUUCUUCAAUCUCCAAUCUUAAAGACCUGAACUUUCUCGGUUUGUCUGGGAAUAAAAUUCAAGGAUCCAUACCAAAUUUAAUCUGUGAGAUUUUUCCUCUUCGACAUCUUGAUUUAAAGGUUAAUAAUAUAACAGGAACCGUACCAAGUUGCAUCAUAAACCUCCGAAAUCUUAGUUUCCUUGAUGUUUCCUUUUUACUUCUAUAAGAGGAACUGUUUCGUUGAUUUCUUUCAUCAAUGAACUAGACCUAACUUUCUUAGACCUCCGUGCAAAUAAGUUUAUUAUGUUCACAAAAACCAGAUUUGUCUUACACUAGAACGUAUAUAAUUGAACUCUCCAACAACAAACUAUCUGGCACUAUACCUUCUAGUAUAGGGAUUGCAGAAAUCUUGGUGCUCUAGACCUCGGCAACAAUAGUCUCACUGGAAAUGUUCCAAACGAGCUUAAACACACAAAUCUGGAAUCCCUUGAACUAAAUGACAACUAUCUCAAUGGUACGUUUCCUAUGUUCAUCCAAAAUUUCUUAAGAUUGGAGACUCUCAACUUAGGAAAUAACAACUUUGAAGGGAGUAUACCCACUGGUCUUGGUUUACUCAGCGACCUAACCAUCCUUUCUUUAAGGUCGAACAGAUUCAACGGGUCUAUUCCUGAAGAUAUUAUGCAAU
This is a long non-coding RNA of Papaver somniferum (opium poppy), 2477 nucleotides long. RefSeq lists it as uncharacterized. The transcript is spliced from 3 exons. Lineage: Eukaryota; Viridiplantae; Streptophyta; Magnoliopsida; Ranunculales; Papaveraceae. The record is from RefSeq and is a predicted model, not a curated record.